Molecule: transfer RNA, 65 nt
Filed under: Stenocercus varius
Lineage: Eukaryota; Metazoa; Chordata; Lepidosauria; Squamata; Tropiduridae
Description: tRNA-Cys
Source: RNAcentral
AAGCCCCGGAGCCCUCUUGGGCUCGUCUUCAAACUUGCAUUUUGACGUGAUCUCACCACGAGGCU